AGAGUUUGAUCCUGGCUCAGGAUGAACGCUGGCGGCGUGCCUAAUACAUGCAAGUCGAGCGAACAGAUAAGGAGCUUGCUCCUUUGAAGUUAGCGGCGGACGGGUGAGUAACACGUGGGUAACCUACCUAUAAGACUGGGAUAACUUCGGGAAACCGGAGCUAAUACCGGAUAACAUUUAGAACCGCAUGGUUCUAAAGUGAAAGAUGGUUUUGCUAUCACUUAUAGAUGGACCCGCGCCGUAUUAGCUAGUUGGUAAGGUAACGGCUUACCAAGGCGACGAUACGUAGCCGACCUGAGAGGGUGAUCGGCCACACUGGAACUGAGACACGGUCCAGACUCCUACGGGAGGCAGCAGUAGGGAAUCUUCCGCAAUGGGCGAAAGCCUGACGGGGCAACGCCGCGUGAGUGAUGAAGGGUUUCGGCUCGUAAAACUCUGUUAUUAGGGAAGAACAAAUGUGUAAGUAACUGUGCACAUCUUGACGGUACCUAAUCAGAAAGCCACGGCUAACUACGUG
RNAcentral lists this ribosomal RNA (517 nucleotides) under uncultured Staphylococcus sp. RNAcentral's name for it is "bacterial SSU rRNA". It matches the Rfam family "Bacterial small subunit ribosomal RNA", at positions 8 to 507 of the family's 1533-position model. Lineage: Bacteria; Bacillati; Bacillota; Bacilli; Caryophanales; Staphylococcaceae. The record is from RNAcentral.